This 335-nucleotide RNase P RNA is filed under the name Aequorivita sublithincola DSM 14238. Its description in RNAcentral is "Bacterial RNase P class A". It matches the Rfam family "Bacterial RNase P class A". From Rfam's summary of the family: Ribonuclease P (RNase P) is a ubiquitous endoribonuclease, found in archaea, bacteria and eukarya as well as chloroplasts and mitochondria. Its best characterised activity is the generation of mature 5'-ends of tRNAs by cleaving the 5'-leader elements of precursor-tRNAs. The record is from RNAcentral. Lineage: Bacteria; Pseudomonadati; Bacteroidota; Flavobacteriia; Flavobacteriales; Flavobacteriaceae.
GCAGCAGGCCGCCUUAUCGUCGAGAUCCCCGCUUUCGCGAGGAUUUAGGAGGAAAGUCCGGACACCAUAGGGAAGCAUAGCGGCUAACGGCCGUCGUUAUUCCUGCGAAGGCAGGAAUUUCAGGACAAGUGCAGCAGAAAGUAUGUACAGGUAAUGCUGUAGUGAAACCAGGUAAACUCUAUGCGGUGAAAUGCCACGUAAACCUGUGCUUGAGGGUUCCCGCCCGAUGCAGGAGGGUAGGCAGAUUGAGCGUUUCGGUAACGGAACGCCUAGAUAAAUGAUAAGGAUUCGUCUUUGGAUGGAUACAGAACCCGGCUUAUAGGCCUGCUUUUUUA